Molecule: ribosomal RNA, 251 nt
Filed under: uncultured prokaryote
Description: partial 16S rRNA
Rfam family: Bacterial small subunit ribosomal RNA
Source: RNAcentral
ACGGGGGGAGCAAGCGUUGUUCGGAAUCAAUGGGCGUAAAGGACGUGUAGGCGGUCAGGUAAGUGGAAUGUGAAAUGACCCGGCUCACCCGGGGACCGGCAUCACAAACUGCCUGGCUGGAGUAUGGGAGAGGAUGGAGGAAUUCCUGGUGUAGCGGUGAAAUGCGUAGAUAUCAGGAGGAACCCCGGUGGCGAAGGCGUCCAUCUGGCCCACUACUGACGCUGAGGCGCGAAAGCUAGGGGAGCAAACGU